Molecule: unclassified non-coding RNA, 190 nt
Filed under: rhizosphere metagenome
Description: partial ribosomal RNA internal transcribed spacer region
Source: RNAcentral
UUCAGUACUUCUGAGGCUGUCAGUCUAUACUUGUAUAGCAAGCCUCUGUCUGAACCCUUGUCUUUUGCGUACCUAUGUUUCCUCGGCGGGCUUGCCCGCCGGUUGGACAAUACAAAAACCUUAUUAAUUUUCAUUCAGCGUCUGAAUAACUAUAAUAAUUACAACUUUCAACAACGGAUCUCUUGGUUCU